UACGGGAGGCAGCAGUGGGGAAUAUUGCACAAUGGGCGCAAGCCUGAUGCAGCCAUGCCGCGUGUAUGAAAAAGGCCUUCGGGUUGUAAAGUACUUUCAGUCGUGAGGAAGGUGUUAAGGUUAAUAACCUUAGCAAUUGACGUUAGCGACAGAAGAAGCACCGGCUAACUCCGUGCCAGCAGCCGCGGUAAUACGGAGGGUGCGAGCGUUAAUCGGAAUUACUGGGCGUAAAGGGCACGCAGGCGGUUAAUUAAGUUGGAUGUGAAAUCCCCGGGCUUAACCUGGGAAUGGCAUUCAAGACUGGUUAGCUAGAGUCUUGUAGAGGGGGUAGAAUUCCAUGUGUAGCGGUGAGAUGCGUAGAGAUGUGGAGGAAUACCGGUGGCGAAGGCGGCCCCUGGACAAAGACUGACGCUCAUGUGCGAAAGCGUGGGGAGCAAACAGGGAUUAGAUACC
RNAcentral lists this ribosomal RNA (453 nucleotides) under uncultured bacterium. RNAcentral's name for it is "bacterial SSU rRNA". It matches the Rfam family "Bacterial small subunit ribosomal RNA", at positions 340 to 786 of the family's 1533-position model. The record is from RNAcentral.